This is a non-coding RNA of Vicugna pacos (alpaca), 2218 nucleotides long. Lineage: Eukaryota; Metazoa; Chordata; Mammalia; Artiodactyla; Camelidae. The record is from RefSeq and is a predicted model, not a curated record.
CCUCUGCUACUCAUCUGAUCAUGCAAUCUAUACUCAACCAUGGAACCAGAUAAAACAGCAGCAUCCAGCCUCUGUACUGAUCGUCAUUGUUUGCCAGAGGAAUUGCAUGAAAUAAAUACAGAGUUUGGUGAAGAAAGCAUAGCAUACUCAGAAGUCAGAGUUCAUGGUUCUUCAAAUAUUCAGGAGAAAAAGAAAAAGAAAAAGAAAAAUGGUAAAAAAACAACAUUUAAAACUCCACAUUCCCUUUUUCGCUUUGAUAUUUUAAUGAACUAGUCAGGAAAACAAAUAUUCAUGGACUAACCUCUGAAUUGGAUUUCAUCUUUCAUACCAACACUUUUAAACUGGUCAUAGUGACCUAACGUGCUGUGUUAAGAGCAAAUUUGACACAACACUGUAAAAUGACUAUUACUCAAUAAAAAAAAUGUUAAAAAAAAUAGAGCAAAUGAGAAUGAACUGACCAUUUCAUUUGAAUAAUGAACAAUGGCUUAAAGUGAGGUACCACAGCCACAGAAUAAAGGAUGUUUCAUAUAUACUUUUCUGAUCUGAUAUUUUAGCUUCGCAAAAAGUAACAGCUCUUUUAAGGCUACAGUAUUUCUAAAAACAAAACGGAGCUUGUGAAGUAUGUCCGAAUAAAUGACAUAUCAGAAUUGUCACAAAAUAUCUGUCAGGGCCAACAGCUAAAGUAGGUGUUUUAUUCUUAACCUACUUCUGCUGCAAAGAUGGGAGAAUUUUGUUUUUUAAUUGCAGCAGAGUGAUGAAUUAAAUUCCUAGUAAGAUUUUUGAAGUGCUCUUUUGUAAUCACAAAAUUCCUUUAACAGAACAAUUUGUUAGUUCAACAACAUUCCUACAUAAAACUAUUCAUAUGUCCCCUGGCUAUUCCCAAAUCUUCAAAAUAAUUAUUAGAGUCUUCCUCGCAGGCUGAGGUAUAUGACAAUGUGGUACUCCCAUGAGCUGAGAUAUCAGUCCAAGUUAAAUUAUGAAUAUUCCUAACCAAAAUCCCUUCUAAUCCUAACUCUUUAAUCCUGUUUCCAUUGAUCAUCAUAAUAGCUUGCGUCUCUCUUUGGGCAGAGUCUCUGUGGUGCCUCGCUGCAGUGGCGUUUGCCUUGCUUUAUUUAAUCGUUCUGGCAGUCGCUGCAGUGAUGACAGCUAAGGUUUUCUGUCUAGAAGAGAUUCUGAAUACAGAGGAAUCCAAACACCAAAAUACUACUGCACAUUGCAAAAUAAUAUAGCAAAGCAGAAGGUAACGUCCUUCUCUGAAGAAAACAGAUAUUCUAUUUCUGCUGGAAAUAAAAUCUUGGCAGCAAGGAAACUGUUCUGAAGCACUGAGUUCCAGUCUUAAUCAAGACAAACAGCAAGGAAGAAUUGGAAACAUGUGGCAAUAAAUUCCUUCCUACGUUUUCCUAUACAGAAAAUAAUUACAGAGACGUUUUAACACUUUGUGUUUACUCACGUGUGCUAAACUCAACAUAUUAUAAUAAUUGGGGAUCUCUUAAUCAAACCCAAAAUACGGGCUUAAAAGAUUAUGUGAUUUUUAAAUUGUAAAUAUAUUUGCGUAUAGAAGUAAAUGCUAAUAUAUUAAAAUUUCAGACCUUGGUAAAUAAUUGGGGGGAGGGAACAUAUAGAACAUACAAACUAAAGGGUACUCAGUCACAACUGGCACUUUAAAAAUACCUAACAUUUAUUGACUGCUUCUAAUAUUCAGGAUAUUGCUUUAGUGUAUCAUAAGGCAUAUACUGCCCCAGUGCUCCUAUGAGACAGCCCUAGUAUGAUUGUUGUCAUAUUAAUAAAGAAACUGAGGCCCAGAGAGGAUGUGAAAAUUUUCCAAAGUUGUAUAACUAGUAAGAAAUAGAAACAUGAUUUAAGCCAAGAUAGUUUCACGCUAAAAGGCAUGCAUAUAACCACUAUGCUGGAUUAAAAAAAUCACAUCCAAUCAUGUUACAAGAAUAUUGCUUCUUUAGAAAUAGUCAGGACUGCAGAUUUGCAUUUUUUUCCUCUGGAUAUAUCUUUCAGAAAGGAACACAUGAGAAAAAGAACUUUCAAGAAUAAAAUAUUAUAAUAGCUUUUCAUAAAGAGUGGCUAUUUCUAUACUAACUAUCCUCUGAAUGAUGAAAAAAUAAAGAGAUUAAUAGAAGUGAUUUUUUUUCCCCUUUAGUAGACUCCAGCAAGUUUAAAGAAUAUAGGUCUCCUUUAUAUCUUAGUUCUCAUCCAUUAUGUGACU